AGAGUUUGAUCCUGGCUCAGGAUGAACGCUGGCGGCGUGCUUAAUACAUGCAAGUCGAACGGAAGAUGUAGCAAUAUAUCUUUAGUGGCGAACGGGUGAGUAACGCGUUGGUGACCUGCCCCAAAGAGAGGGAUAACAGUUCGAAAGGACUGCUAAUACCGCAUGAGUUCACAGAGAUUGGAAGGCUGUGAAGAAAGGCGAAAGCCGCUUUGGGAGGGGCCUGCGUCCCAUCAGCUAGUUGGUAGGGUAACGGCCUACCAAGGCGAUGACGGGUAGGGGACCUGAGAGGGUGGCCCCCCACAAUGGAACUGAAACACGGUCCAUACACCUACGGGUGGCAGCAGUAGGGAAUAUUGGUUAAUGGGCGAAAGCCUGAACCAGCAACGCCGCGUGUGCGAUGAAGGCCUUCGGGUUGUAAAGCACUUUUAGUAGGGACGAGGAAGGACGGUACCUACAGAAUAAGCCUCGGCUAACUACGUGCCAGCAGCCGCGGUAACACGUAGGAGGCAAGCGUUAUUCGGAUUUACUGGGCGUAAAGCGCGUGUAGGCGGUUCGGAGAGUUGGAUGUGAAAGCUCCUGGCUUAACUGGGAGAGGCCGUUCAAUACUUCCGGACUUGAGGAUGGUAGAGGAAGAUGGAAUUCCGAGUGUAGUGGUGAAAUGCGCAGAUAUUCGGAGGAACACCAGUGGCGAAAGCGAUCUUCUAGACCAUAACUGACGCUCAGACGCGAAAGCUAGGGUAGCAAACGGGAUUAGAGACCCCGGUAGUCCUAGCUGUAAACGACGUAGACUAUGCGUUGGUGGGUUUCAAUACUUCAGUGCCGGAACAAACGCCAAAAGAUUUACCGGCCUGGGGACCUACCGGCCGCGAGUUAAAAACGCCAAAGGAAUUGGCGGUGGGCC
This 901-nucleotide ribosomal RNA is filed under the name uncultured bacterium. RNAcentral describes it as "bacterial SSU rRNA". It matches the Rfam family "Bacterial small subunit ribosomal RNA", at positions 8 to 922 of the family's 1533-position model. The record is from RNAcentral.